UGCUUGUUAUUUGCUUCUGGGAGA
Molecule: non-coding RNA, 24 nt
Filed under: Drosophila erecta
Lineage: Eukaryota; Metazoa; Arthropoda; Insecta; Diptera; Drosophilidae
Also listed under: 2 other names
Source: RNAcentral